Molecule: long non-coding RNA, 695 nt
Organism: Populus nigra (black poplar)
Lineage: Eukaryota; Viridiplantae; Streptophyta; Magnoliopsida; Malpighiales; Salicaceae
Exons: 2
Source: RefSeq, a predicted model, not a curated record
UCAACGAUCUUCAAUUCAAAUCCAGUCCUAGUCCUUUUUUUUCAAAUAUCAGCAACCAUUUCGCCUCUGGUAUCCCCUUGUAACAAUUUCCUCCCCUUCAAACACACCAUUGUCCUCAAAGGCAAAUCCUGGAAAUCUGAGAGAUAGUUCAUCCGUAAACUCCCAUGUAGCCUCUGAUGGUGGACAUCCCUUCCAAAGUACAAGAACCUGGGUAGCUGCUUGGUUACGUCUUUUCACCAUUCAUCAAUCCAAGAUGGCUUGAGGUUGCGACUUGCGAGGUAGGCUCCAGUGACUCUACAGGAGGAGGCCAAUCCACUACUAAUCUCUACUCCAGGAAGCUCCUCUCAUUUCCACCAUGAGCUUCAGUCAUGAUAGCAGUCCUUGGAUACAACCUGUGAGCAGACUUCACUAGUGGCAACAGUGCAGCCUGUGGUUUUCCUCUGUCAAGCAGACCAGCAACUCUCAGCCCAGCAACGUGAGCAGCGAACCUCUCUACACCAGCGUUUCAGCCAUUCCUCAUCAGUAGUGCAUUUUAAUUCAUAUAGUUUUUCUUCUUUUUUUUUUAGCCAUUUGCAGGUUGAGUCCUUAAACUUUGAAGUCUCUUCAAUCAUAUGCCUCAUGUUUGUGUACUAGUUUAUAUGAUUGACAUGUUUAACUUGAGUGAAAUGUUGCUUGAUAUGAUUUUAUUUUUGUGA